Molecule: ribosomal RNA, 253 nt
Filed under: uncultured bacterium
Lineage: Bacteria
Description: partial 16S ribosomal RNA
Rfam family: Bacterial small subunit ribosomal RNA
Source: RNAcentral
UACGUAGGGAGCAAGCGUUGUCCGGAAUCAUUGGGCGUAAAGCGCGCGUAGGCGGCCUCAUAAGUCCGUUGUGAAAGUCAAAGGCUCAACCUUUGAAAGCCGAUGGAUACUGUGAGGCUAGAGUCCGGAAGAGGCGAGUGGAAUUCCUGGUGUAGCGGUGGAAUGCGCAGAUAUCAGGAGGAACACCCAUGGCGAAGGCAGCAAACUGGGCAUUAUCUGACGCUGAGGCGCGAAAGCGUGGGUAGCAAACAGG